UCCCUACGGGGUGCACCAGGCGCGAAACCUCCGCAAUGUGAGCAAUCGCGACGGGGGGAUCCCAAGUGCCAUUCUUAACUGGGAUGGCUUCCUUAAGUUAAAGAGCUCUGAAUACGUAUUCGAA
This 124-nucleotide ribosomal RNA is filed under the name uncultured archaeon. RNAcentral's name for it is "partial 16S ribosomal RNA". It matches the Rfam family "Archaeal small subunit ribosomal RNA", at positions 319 to 444 of the family's 1478-position model. The record is from RNAcentral.